CCGCGGGAUUGAGUUUGAUCUGGCUCAGAAUCAACGCUGGCGGCGUGCCUAACACAUGCAAGUCGAACGAGAAAGUGGAGCAAUCCAUGAGUAAAGUGGCGCACGGGUGAGUAACACGUGACUAACCUACCCUUGAGUGGGGAAUAACUUCGGGAAACCGAGGCUAAUACCGCAUAACACCUACGGGUCAAAGGAGCAAUUCGCUUAAGGAGGGGGUCGCGGCAGAUUAGUUAGUUGGCAGGGUAAUGGCCUACCAAGACGGUGAUCUGUAUCCGGCCUGAGAGGGCGCACGGACACACUGGAACUGAAACACGGUCCAGACUCCUACGGGAGGCAGCAGUGGGGAAUUUUGCGCAAUGGGGGAAACCCUGACGCAGCAACGCCGCGUGGAGGAUGAAGUCCCUUGGGACGUAAACUCCUUUCGAUCGGGACGAUUAUGACGGUACCGGAAGAAGAAGCCCCGGCUAACUUCGUGCCAGCAGCCGCGGUAAUACGAGGGGGGCGAGCGUUGUUCGGAAUUAUUGGGCGUAAAGGGCGCGUAGGCGGUCGGAUAAGUCUUGUGUGAAAUCUUCGGGCUCAACUCGAAGUCUGCACAGGAAACUAUCUGGCUUGAGUGUGGGAGAGGUGAGUGGAAUUCCUGGUGUAGCGGUGAAAUGCGUAGAUAUCAGGAGGAACACCUGUGGCGAAAGCGGCUCACUGGACCACAACUGACGCUGAGGCGCGAAAGCUAGGGGAGCAAACAGGAUUAGAUACCCUGGUAGUCCUAGCCCUAAACGAUGAUCGCUUGGUGUGACGGGUACCCAAUCCCGCCGUGCCGAAGCUAACGCGUUAAGCGAUCCGCCUGGGGAGUA
Molecule: ribosomal RNA, 851 nt
Filed under: uncultured Actinomycetes bacterium
Lineage: Bacteria; Bacillati; Actinomycetota; Actinomycetes
Description: bacterial SSU rRNA
Rfam family: Bacterial small subunit ribosomal RNA
Source: RNAcentral